Molecule: ribosomal RNA, 253 nt
Filed under: uncultured bacterium
Lineage: Bacteria
Description: partial 16S ribosomal RNA
Rfam family: Bacterial small subunit ribosomal RNA
Source: RNAcentral
UACGGAGGGUGCAAGCGUUACUCGGAAUUACUGGGCGUAAAGCGCGUGUAGGUGGUUUCGUAAGUCUGGUGUGAAAUCCCGGGGCUCAACCCCGGAAGUGCAUUGGAUACUGCGAGACUAGAGUGCAGGAGAGGAUGGCGGAAUUCCAGGUGUAGAGGUGAAAUUCGUAGAUAUCUGGAGGAACAUCGGAGGCGAAGGCGGCCAUCUGGACUGCAACUGACACUGAGACGCGAAAGCGUGGGGAGCAAACAGG